Molecule: ribosomal RNA, 270 nt
Filed under: Rhizonema sp. 'cyanobiont of Coccocarpia sp.'
Lineage: Bacteria; Bacillati; Cyanobacteriota; Cyanophyceae; Nostocales; Rhizonemataceae
Description: partial 16S ribosomal RNA
Rfam family: Bacterial small subunit ribosomal RNA
Source: RNAcentral
GAUGAACGCUGGCGGUAUGCUUAACACAUGCAAGUCGAACGGUCUCUUCGGAGAUAGUGGCGGACGGGUGAGUAACGCGUGAGAAUCUGGCUCUAGGUUUGGGACAACCACUGGAAACGGUGGCUAAUACCGGAUAUGCCGAAAGGUGAAAGGUUAACUGCCUGGAGAUGAGCUCGCGUCUGAUUAGCUAGUUGGUAAGGUAAAAGCUUACCAAGGCGACGAUCAGUAGCUGGUCUGAGAGGACGAUCAGCCACACUGGGACUGAGACAC